This is a long non-coding RNA of Capsicum annuum, 1756 nucleotides long. RefSeq lists it as uncharacterized. The record is from RefSeq and is a predicted model, not a curated record. The transcript has 4 exons. NCBI's taxonomy places the organism in Eukaryota, Viridiplantae, Streptophyta, Magnoliopsida, Solanales, Solanaceae.
UGCAUCAAAAAUUAUGCCAAUCACUCCUACACCGUGAAAAUAUCAUAAUGCAACUACGAGGAGGGGUAAAACAAUUCAAUCAUACAAAAUCACAAAUUUCACAUAUUUCAUCAAAUUUUUAGGUCGUUACAAGGCCUCUUUUCACAUUUUCAAUGACCCAAUUCCAAAUGUGAGUAGCUCUAAAUUUAGUCCGUAGCAGGAGCCUCAGGUAGUGGUUGGGAAUAGAGCCGAAUUGCAACUAAGAAUUCCAGCCAGCUCUUCCAGAUUGGGCACUUUUUUUACAGGAUAAAUAAUACUCUUUAGCAUGUUGAUGUGAAGGAAUGAAACAGUUUCAAAAUAAGUAAAGUCAGAUCAAGAAGCAGUACUUGGGAUCUUUCUGCUUCACCAAAAAUUAGGGUAUCAUCUGCAUAUAGCAGAUGUGAGAUAUUGACCAGUUUCCAUGCAUUGUUUCCCACAUCAAAGCCAUUAAUUAAUUACCUUUGUUUAGCUUUGUCUAGUAAUCUACUAAGACCUUCCAUUUCUAGAAUGAAGGGGGAAGAGAGUUAAAGGAUCUUCCUGAGUGAAGCCCUUUUGAGGCGAAAGAAGCCUACCAGGCAUCUAUUAUUCAGCACAGGAUGCUUGACUGUUGAAAUACUGAACUGGAUCCACUUUAUCGACUUAUCACCAAACCCAUCUUCCUCAGCUUGUUGAUAAGAUAGGGCCAGUUCAACUGAUCAAAUGCCUUUUCAGUGUCCAGUUUUGCCUAGGAUUCCUUAUUUUCCAUUUUUCAAUGUCCAAUCAAGGACUUGAUUUGCAGUGAGGCAUCAGUGAUCGCCUAUUUUUAAUGAAGGAACCCUACCUGGCAUCUAUUAAUCAGCACAAGACACUUGACUGUUGAAAUACUGAACUGGAUCCACCUGUCACCAAACCCAUCUUCCUCCACAUGUUGAUUAGAUCAAGAGUUGUGAUGGCAGGCAGAAUCUACCAUUUGAAGAUGAAAGCGAAGCUCAAAGAAGUUGAUGAAUUGGCGCCCAAAUUCGGUCCAGGAGAUGAAGGCAUUACUUACUAUUUCAAGGUAAAUGUUUUAAGUCUUAUCUUCUCAAUCUAAAUUUUGUUUUGCAGUUAAGGUGUGAGCGCUGCCACGAGGAGUCCAAAUCCGAGGUGGCAGCCAAGCUCGGAUUGAAGGACCACGAGCUUCCUAGUGGAGCUCCAUGCAGCAUGCGUUACUCGUGCAAGCUUUGUGCUAACAAGGGAUUUGUGGACCUACUAGGAGGUGGCAAGCCCAUUUACACCUCAAGAGACUGAUGUCACCAUAAUGACUCUCAGGAUUUGGGGCUUUGAGCCCAUAAGGCCCUCUCUGAAUGGGGGAUUUAGAGUAUCCAGAGAAAUAGCAUGAAGAUGGCAAAAAUUUUCACGUAGCAGAUGAUAUCAACUUGACAAAGGGAUUCUACAAGGGUCAGUACCCAGACGACGGUGUUGAAUUUCGAGUUUCCAACGUCGUAACAUAUUUUGUCAAGAUACAGGGUUAAAGGAAAAGCUUACAAAAGUUUUACAGUGUGAUUUUGUAAGAUGUAGGAUUGAAGUUCCGUAAAAUGUUACUACUAUUCGCAUGUUGUCCAAGUCACUUUUUUUUUUUUUUGUUUAAGUUGCUUUUAUUUUUGUCUAAAGCGCUUUCCUAUUACUAAGUAAUAAUAGUCAAAUUUAAGGUUUCAAAUUUUAUUAGAUAUGAGCAUCUCAUGGGCAUAGGGCCAAUCAGAACUUCUGUUGAAGAAAUUAC